AACGAACGCUGGCGGCAGGCUUAACACAUGCAAGUCGAGCGCCCCGCAAGGGGAGCGGCAGACGGGUGAGUAACACGUGGGAACAUACCCAUCUCUGCGGAACAACUCCGGGAAACUGGAGCUAAUACCGCAUACGCCCUUCGGGGGAAAGAUUUAUCGGAGAUGGAUUGGCCCGCGGUGGAUUAGCUAGUUGGUGGGGUAAAGGCCUACCAAGGCGACGAUCCAUAGCUGGUCUGAGAGGAUGAUCAGCCACAUUGGGACUGAGGCACGGCCCAAACUCCUACGGGAGGCAGCAGUGCGGAAUAUUGGAAAAUGGGCGAAAGCCUGAUCCAGCCAUGCCGCGUGAGUGAUGAAGGCCUUAGGGUUGUAAAGCUCUUUCACCGAUGAAGAUAAUGACGGUAGUCGGAGAAGAAGCCCCGGCUAACUUCGUGCCAGCAGCCGCCGUAA
Molecule: ribosomal RNA, 447 nt
Filed under: uncultured bacterium
Lineage: Bacteria
Description: partial 16S ribosomal RNA
Rfam family: Bacterial small subunit ribosomal RNA
Source: RNAcentral